AGGGUAACAUUGUGCUUGCACAGAUGACGACCGGCGCACGGGUGCGUAACGCGUAUAGAACCUACCUUUUACAGAGGAAUAGCCUUUAGAAAUGAAGAUUAAUGCCUCAUGGUAUUGUAGACUGGCAUCAGUUUAUAAUUAAAGAUUUAUCGGUAAAAGAUGGCUAUGCGUCCUAUUAGUUAGUUGGUAAGGUAACGGCUUACCAAGACAGCGAUAGGUAGGGGUCCUGAGAGGGAGAUCCCCCACACCGGUACUGAGACACGGACCAGACUCCUACGGGAGGCAGCAGUGAGGAAUAUUGGACAAUGGAGGAGACUCUGAUCCAGCCAUGCCGCGUGUAGGAAGAAUGCCCUAUGGGUUGUAAACUACUUUUAUACAGGAAGAAACACUGGUAUGUAUACCAGCUUGACGGUACUGUAAGAAUAAGGACCGGCUAACUCCGUGCCAGCAGCCGCGGUAAUACGGAGGGUCCGAGCGUUAUCCGGAAUCAUUGGGUUUAAAGGGUCCGCAGGCGGUCGAUUAAGUCAGAGGUGAAAUCCCAUAGCUCAACUAUGGAACUGCCUUUGAUACUGGUUGACUUGAGUCAUAUGGAAGUAGAUAGAAUGUGUAGUGUAGCGGUGAAAUGCAUAGAUAUUACACAGAAUACCGAUUGCGAAGGCAGUCUACUACGUAUGUACUGACGCUGAGGGACGAAAGCGUGGGGAGCGAACAGGAUUAGAUACCCUGGUAGUCCACGCCGUAAACGAUGGAUACUAGUUGUUGGGAUUUAUCUCAGUGACUAAGCGAAAGUGAUAAGUUCCCACGUGGGGAGUACGUUGCAA
RNAcentral lists this ribosomal RNA (821 nucleotides) under uncultured Polaribacter sp. Its description in RNAcentral is "bacterial SSU rRNA". It matches the Rfam family "Bacterial small subunit ribosomal RNA", at positions 65 to 891 of the family's 1533-position model. The record is from RNAcentral. Lineage: Bacteria; Pseudomonadati; Bacteroidota; Flavobacteriia; Flavobacteriales; Flavobacteriaceae.